This 966-nucleotide ribosomal RNA is filed under the name Rothia sp. (in: high G+C Gram-positive bacteria). RNAcentral's name for it is "bacterial SSU rRNA". It matches the Rfam family "Bacterial small subunit ribosomal RNA", at positions 1 to 949 of the family's 1533-position model. Lineage: Bacteria; Bacillati; Actinomycetota; Actinomycetes; Micrococcales; Micrococcaceae. The record is from RNAcentral.
UUUAAUGAGAGUUUGAUCCUGGCUCAGGAUGAACGCUGGCGGCGUGCCUAAUACAUGCAAGUAGAACGCUGAAGUCCGGUACUUGUACCAGACGGAUGAGUUGCGAACGGGUGAGUAACGCGUAGGUAACCUGCCUGGUAGCGGGGGAUAACUAUUGGAAACGAUAGCUAAUACCGCAUAACAAUGAAUGACACAUGUCAUUUAUUUGAAAGGUGCAAUUGCACCACUACCAGAUGGACCUGCGUUGUAUUAGCUAGUUGGUGAGGUAACGGCUCACCAAGGCGACGAUACAUAGCCGACCUGAGAGGGUGAUCGGCCACACUGGGACUGAGACACGGCCCAGACUCCUACGGGAGGCAGCAGUAGGGAAUCUUCGGCAAUGGGGGCAACCCUGACCGAGCAACGCCGCGUGAGUGAAGAAGGUUUUCGGAUCGUAAAGCUCUGUUGUAAAGGAAGAACGAGUGUUAGAGUGGAAAGUUGACACUGUGACGGUACUUUACCAGAAAGGGACGGCUAACUACGUGCCAGCAGCCGCGGUAAUACGUAGGUCCCGAGCGUUAUCCGGAUUUAUUGGGCGUAAAGCGAGCGCAGGCGGUUAGAUAAGUCUGAAGUGAAAGGCUAUGGCUCAACCAUAGUAUGCUUUGGAAACUGUUUAACUUGAGUGCAGAAGGGGAGAGUGGAAUUCCAUGUGUAGCGGUGAAAUGCGUAGAUAUAUGGAGGAACACCGGUGGCGAAAGCGGCUCUCUGGUCUGUAACUGACGCUGAGGCUCGAAAGCGUGGGUAGCGAACAGGAUUAGAUACCCUGGUAGUCCACGCCGUAAACGAUGAGUGCUAGGUGUUAGACCCUUUCCGGGGUUCAGUGCCGCAGCUAACGCAUUAAGCACUCCGCCUGGGGAGUACGACCGCAAGGUUGAAACUCAAAGGAAUUGACGGGGGCCCGCACAAGCGGUGGAGCAUGUGGUUUAA